CGGGGCGUGGCGCAGUUUGGUAGCGCACCCGCUUUGGGAGCGGGGGGUCGCAGGUUCAAAUCCUGUCGCCCCGACCA
RNAcentral lists this transfer RNA (77 nucleotides) under Saccharothrix espanaensis. Its description in RNAcentral is "tRNA-Pro". It matches the Rfam family "tRNA". Rfam says of the family: Transfer RNA (tRNA) molecules are approximately 80 nucleotides in length. Their secondary structure includes four short double-helical elements and three loops (D, anti-codon, and T loops). RNAcentral also lists the same sequence under 9 other names. Lineage: Bacteria; Bacillati; Actinomycetota; Actinomycetes; Pseudonocardiales; Pseudonocardiaceae. The record is from RNAcentral.